CUCGGCUACCUUUCUAAUUAGAUUAGCGCGGCCUCCGCCCGCGCAGGGGCCGGCCUGGGCGCCGCCGCCCCUCCCGCAGACACCUAAUAUUUGUAAUGACGCAAUGACUAGGGCCAUUAGAGGAAGUUAAAAAUGAAUUAUGGGGCCAUAUUAUAUUAACCAGAUGCGGCUUUCGAGGGGCCGGGCUGCUGUUAUCUGUCUGGUCGAACGGGCGGUGGGCCAGCCCCCCGUGCAGAGCGGCCUCGGCCCUGCGCACCCCGGGUCUCGCUCUUCUGCAGUCCCGCUGCGGUUGCCAUGUCAACCAGCGACUGGGGUGCUCGGCACACCUGACCUGCCAGCCUCCGCGGGGCAGGGCAGGGCAGGACCGGAGCUCCCCCUCGGCCGGGCCCACACCGCCAGGAGCUGGUUGGCUUCGUGCGAAGGGUGGGGACGCGGCCUUGAUGAUCCAGGGCCCGGUAACCGCUGAGGACUCCCCGGUCUUCGGGCUGCUCCCUGUAAAGGGAGCGUAAGGAACCAUCCGGGGGAACUGGGGAUGGGGCUUGCACAGAAUGUGCUCUCUCCAAAGACCGCCCAGUAGCACUCCAUGGCACGCAGACACCACAUUUUCUUUAUCCAUCUGAUAGUCUGAGGACCCUCAGCUCAGGUACAGAGAAGUAACAUGGUACAACACUUCCUAUAGCUUGGGCCGCUUCCAGGUGAGACUCUCCAACGAGCAUCCUACCUUCCAGGGAGGAUGGCUCCCUAGAUGUCCCUGAGGACUGUCCCUGGCUUCAGAUCCGGAUAUUGCUCCAUCCACUUCAUCCACAGAGUUCUAGCUGCAGCCCCAACACUUGUGACAUCCAAUGUCAUCCAAUGGUGAGAUCGGCCUUGUCUUUCCACAUUGCAGUUCUGGGUCCUCCUGCCCUAAAGACAAUGCUACCUCAAGGCACGAUGGAAAUUCAGCAGAGACAACUCUCCCGUCUCCUGGAAACAUCUGUCACCACUCUUCUGUCCUUCAGACAAAACUUAAAUAAAAUUCAAUAAUUUUGACUUA
RNA transcript from Canis lupus familiaris (dog), 1033 nucleotides. RefSeq lists it as uncharacterized. The record is from RefSeq and is a predicted model, not a curated record. NCBI's taxonomy places the organism in Eukaryota, Metazoa, Chordata, Mammalia, Carnivora, Canidae. The transcript is spliced from 3 exons.